This 345-nucleotide long non-coding RNA is filed under the name Homo sapiens (human). RNAcentral's name for it is "HSALNT0207648". Lineage: Eukaryota; Metazoa; Chordata; Mammalia; Primates; Hominidae. The record is from RNAcentral.
GGGAAGCAAUUCCAGGCCGAUGAGAAGAUGCACGAUUGCCAUUCAGCUGGUUGGUGGAGAAUUUGAACUGGAGAUGAACUUUAUUAUCCAGGAUGCUGAGAGUAUAAUACGCAUGACAGAGCUUUUAGAGCACUGUGAUGUAACAUGUCAAGCAGAAAUAGGGAGCAUGUUUACAGCCAUUCUAUGAAAAAGUGUUUGGAAUGUACAGACUAGCACAGAAGUUGGGCUAAUUAAACAAGUAUUGCUGAAAAUGAGUGCUGUAGAUGACAUGAGAGCAGGUAUGGGGUUGUCUGUUAGGAAAGUAUAACUUAAAAGUUUAUAAAGUUUCACAUACUUCUCUUUAUA